This is an RNA transcript of Colletes gigas, 1828 nucleotides long. RefSeq lists it as uncharacterized. The record is from RefSeq and is a predicted model, not a curated record. NCBI's taxonomy places the organism in Eukaryota, Metazoa, Arthropoda, Insecta, Hymenoptera, Colletidae. The transcript has 3 exons.
CUAUUAAAAUCUUGAGGUGGCUAGCCGUUAUUAAGUCAAUGCAAGUAGAACUAAAGUUUGAUAGUACGUAUUUCAUUAUUCCUGCUGAUCAUUUGCACGCUACUUACGUUGCGACGAGUAAUAAUUUACACAGUGAUAAAGCGUUUGUUCCUUACGAAAACAACAAUUUCAAAGUUUUGACAAAUGUUAUGCGCACAAGGGACACAAUUUUUAAUUUUGUUAAAAAUUAUCAUCGCAGCUUCAUCUGGUGUUUUAUUCUGAUGUAAUCGGUUUUUAUUGCAACGCUCAUAAAUAUACAUAUACGGAUACAAAGUUCCAUCAAGCAUAAAUUAAAGAAUCACGUGUGUACUGAUUUUUUUUUCAACGAGACUUUAUAACCUGGCAUUAAUUUUUUGUUAUCGACACUUGAACCUUGUAUUGCAUGCAAUUGUAGGUAUACCAUGAUUUUAGUCUGUACCUUCGAUACGCGGAUACAUGGAACGCAUGCUCGCACUUAGAAUUUCACACAAUCAAGUAGAUUUCAAUGAACAAUGCAUGUAUUUUAAUCGAUAGUAAUUGUUAUCGCGUUAUUGGUCUUGAUCAGCUCAAAGAUUGCAGGUAUCGUUAUGUUCCAUUCGCUUGUUUUGUAGAAGCGUUCUUUUUUUUCUUUCUUUAUCGUAUCAGUAACUAACGCGAAUCUUUUUUCUUUUUCAUGAAAGGUUUUCCCGGGUGAAUAUGUUUUUAUGCGCGCAUUUAACGGCGACGUCUAAAUUUAGACAAUUGGUGAUAAACAUUUAAAGUAUCGAUUGUUUGUCGAGCGAAAUAUCGCCAGAGACAAACGCUCAAUCUUCUUUUGCCCGCGCGAUGUAUCAAAACGCAAAAUGCAAAAAUCUGUGAUCAGUGAUGUGUGAACUUCGAACGAAACAGGACGAAGGCGGUGUACGAUUCGCAGCUCCGAUGGAAAAGGAUAGACGAUUCGAAAGACGUAUCUCGAGCCAGCGAAUUUAAUACGAUGACACGAUUAUAAUCGCUCGAAAACGAUUAAAACCGCAAUCCCCAAGAAAUGGCGAAGCAAAUAUCAUUUUAUUCCACUCUGACGUCGGAAGAAAUGAGUAGAAUGCAACCUUGUAUGAAAGCUAGGUGUGUCAUAAUGACCAGUGAAUCUCCAUCGCCGUUGCAGACCUCUGUGCCACUGGUAGACUACGACGUAACAGAUGAUGCUCGUUCUGGUAAAAUCACACCGACCGCACCUACUAUUCCGGUGAUGAGCAAACUUUUAAACAGUGGUACCACCGACACGGAGACGAUCGAAAAUGCAGUGCCGAUCGCGCAGACCGUUCUACCGGUACCCGAGCCGCGACCGAAAAUCGAAAGGAACGGAAUCGAUUCGGAAACGAAAAAGUCGGUCACUCAACCCAACGACGACUCCUGUGUCGUGGAUUGUAUAUACUUCACGCAGCAGUGCUGCGAAUGCAUGAUACUUUAACGGUCAAACUCACCGCGUGCGGAAUGAUCAAUCUCCUACGCACGAUCUCGGUUGAUCGUUGUGCUUUUAUGUAAUACUGGAUAUGGGAAACGAUCGACGUAAUAUCAUUUUUUGAACAAAAUAGUAGAGUAGAAAGAUGGAAGAAAGACUAACAACCAUCCACUAAAAAUAUCGAAUCUCAUUCAAUGAAGAGCUCUGUAUGAUAAUUUGUCAUGCAUUCCUACUUUUAAAUAGUGAUACUAAACUAGUUCUUAAGUGCUUGUACGCAUUAUACCAAACAAAUCAUUGAAAGUCGUAGUUUAUAUAAAAUUGCUUUUUAAUGCAUCUUGAUACUUUGUUCUUAAGUAAAAGCUAUGCAAUGCA